Molecule: ribosomal RNA, 486 nt
Filed under: uncultured bacterium
Lineage: Bacteria
Description: partial 16S ribosomal RNA
Rfam family: Bacterial small subunit ribosomal RNA
Source: RNAcentral
GAUGAACGCUGGCGGCGUGCUUAACACAUGCAAGUCGAACGGAAAGGCCUCAGCUUGCUGGGGUACUCGAGUGGCGAACGGGUGAGUAACACGUGGGUGAUCUGCCCUGCACUUUGGGAUAAGCUUGGGAAACUGGGUCUAAUACCGAAUAUGACCACUUCUUGGCUGUUGUGGUGGAAAGCUUUUGCGGUGUGGGAUGAGCCUGCGGCCUAUCAGCUUGUUGGUGGGGUAAUGGCCUACCAAGGCGGCGACGGGUAUCCGGCCUGAGAGGGUGUACGGACACAUUGGGACUGAGAUACGGCCCAGACUCCUGCGGGAGGCAGCAGUGGGGAAUAUUGCACAAUGGGCGCAAGCCUGAUGCAGCGACGCCGCGUGGGGGAUGAAGGCCUUCGGGUUGUAAACUCCUUUCGCUAUCGACGAAGCCACUUGUGGUGACGGUAGGUAGAUAAGAAGCACCGGCUAACUACGUGCCAGCAGCCGCGGUAA